ACACGACUACAUUAGAUACCCGGGUAGUCCUAGCCGUAAACGAUACUCGCUAGGUGUCGGCCACGGUGCGACCGUUGUCGGUGCCGUAGGGAAGCCGUGAAGCAAGCCACCUGGGAAGUACGGCCGCAAGGCUGAAACUUAAAGGAAUUGGCGGGGGAGCACCACAACGGGUGGAGCUUGCGGUCUAAUUGGAUUCAACGCCGGAAAUCUUACCGGGACCGACAGCAACAUGAAGGCCAGGCUGAAGACUUUGCCGGAUUAGCUG
Molecule: ribosomal RNA, 265 nt
Filed under: uncultured archaeon
Lineage: Archaea
Description: partial 16S ribosomal RNA
Rfam family: Archaeal small subunit ribosomal RNA
Source: RNAcentral